Molecule: ribosomal RNA, 441 nt
Filed under: uncultured bacterium
Lineage: Bacteria
Description: partial 16S ribosomal RNA
Rfam family: Bacterial small subunit ribosomal RNA
Source: RNAcentral
CUACGGGGCGCUGCAGUGGGGAAUAUUGGGCAAUGGGCGCAAGCCUGACCCAGCAACGCCGCGUGAGGGAAGAAGGUUUUCGGAUUGUAAACCUCUGUCCUUGGGGACGAAGAAGUGACGGUACCCAAGGAGGAAGCUCCGGCUAACUACGUGCCAGCAGCCGCGGUAAGACGUAGGGAGCAAGCGUUGUCCGGAAUUACUGGGCGUAAAGGGUGCGUAGGAGGCAUAUUAAGUCAGGUGUGAAAUACUCGGGCUCAACCCGGGGGCUGCAUUUGAAACUGAUAUGCUUGAGUGUGAGAGAGGAAAGUGGAAUUCCUAGUGUAGCGGUGGAAUGCGUAGAUAUUAGGAGGAACACCAGUGGCGAAGGCGACUUUCUGGCUCAUAACUGACGCUGAGGCACGAAAGCGUGGGGAGCAAACAGGAUUAGAUACCCUGGUAGUC